Aethina tumida (small hive beetle) is the source of this 755-nucleotide long non-coding RNA. RefSeq lists it as uncharacterized. The record is from RefSeq and is a predicted model, not a curated record. NCBI's taxonomy places the organism in Eukaryota, Metazoa, Arthropoda, Insecta, Coleoptera, Nitidulidae. The transcript has 2 exons.
UUUACGCAUGCAAAAGAACCAUAUGCAAAUCGUUCUUUGUUGAUAUUUUUUGAAUGAGCCCGAUUCCGAAGUCGGAUGAAGAAAUGAUGACAAAGAAGACUUUAUUUUGAUUCCUGACCACCAGCCACUUGAUGCCAGCCUCGAUCUGAGACCUGGCGACAUUUACAUUUGUAAUGCGAUGCAAUGCGGAGUACUGUCGGCAAUUUAUGUCCUUUUGUGUGUGUACUUUCAUUUUUUAGACGUUCCGUGCCUUCGUGCGAUUUAUUUAUGCUGUCGACUUGUGUUACUUGGCGUGUAACAAGUUCCCAUUAAAUAAUUCAUGCCAAAUGCCAAAAAAAUAAAGGAAGAAGAAGGAUUUACUCCACUUAAAAGGAAAAGAAUUAACAACAUGUUUUAUAUUAUCUUACAGAACAAGGAUUAUAAAAAAACUCAUUUUAAACUUAUAUAUAAUUGGUGAAGCUACUUUUGGAAUGAUAAUAGUAAUGAAUUUAAAUAUAGCUUAUCGAGAGACUAAAGUAAACCAAAAACACCUAAUUAAUUCAAUUAACUCCAAUUCCUCAUAUUAUUAAGUUUCCAAAUAAGUUAUAUAUAGAUAAGUAUAUCUAUAUGUAGUAUUUAUGAAGAAUUUUUUACAGUUUAUUUAAUUUUAUAGUUGUAGUUUUCUACUUUACUGUGACAGUAGCUCUAUUAACAGAACUUGGAACUUAAGAAAAAGAAGAAAUCUUCCACGUGAAAUAAAUGAUUUAUGUUAUGAA